GAACGCGAAGAACCUUACCCGGGCUUGAAUUGCAGAGGAAGGAUUUAGAGAUAAUGACGCCCUUCGGGGUCUCUGUGAAGGUGCUGCAUGGUUGUCGUCAGCUCGUGCCGUGAGGUGUCGGCUUAAGUGCCAUAACGAGCGCAACCCCUCUCUUCAGUUGCCAUCAGGUAAAGCUGGGCACUCUGGAGACACUGCCACCGUAAGGUGUGAGGAAGGUGGGGAUGACGUCAAAUCAGCACGGCCCUUACGUCCGGGGCUACACACGUGUUACAAUGGCCGGUACAGAGGGAUGGUGUAAUGCAAAUUGCAUCAAAUCUUGAAAGCCGGUCCCAGUUCGGACUGGGGUCUGCAACCCGACCCCACGAAGCUGGAUUCGCUAGUAAUCGCGCAUCAGCCAUGGCGCGGUGAAUACGUUCCCGGGUCUUGUACACACC
RNAcentral lists this ribosomal RNA (434 nucleotides) under uncultured bacterium. RNAcentral's name for it is "bacterial SSU rRNA". It matches the Rfam family "Bacterial small subunit ribosomal RNA", at positions 957 to 1391 of the family's 1533-position model. The record is from RNAcentral.